GGCUUUGGCCUGGUGGGGCCUCUUCCGGUGUACAUGGCAGGAAGCUGUGCUCUUCCUGCUGGACGUCAGCUCCUAUCUCUCCUGGGGAGUGGAGGCUGCUCUGGAGUGGGGCCAAGAUCGGGAGGCUCAGGAGAGAAAAGGGCCUGCGAUCUACCUCCCAGUCGACAAGAUGCUAUAAUAAAAACAUAGCCAACAGUCGCUCAGCGUUUAUUACGGUGCCAGAUGAGGAAACAGGUGCAGAACCGUGGAGUAACCUGCGCUGGGUCUCCAGUAGAAAAACAAGCCCUUGGUGAGAUGAAUUUACCCACUUCGGCCACCAGGGGCGCUGUUGGCACAGCUUGAACUCGAGACCAGCGCUGUCCAACGGAAACCGAACCUCCAGCCAGGGGGACUGAGGGAAGGCUUCCCAGAGGAGGUGACCCUGGCAUUGGGUUCCCAGGAGUGAAGAAGAUUUUGACAAUCAGCAAGGAGAGCAUUCCAGACGAGGAAGCUGCAUGUUGAGGAAUCAGUUCACUGAGAAAUAGAUGGGAAAUAUAGGAACACAAAGAAGGAAAUUGAGACCCCACAAGACCGUGCUGCAGGCCGAUGACCAGGGGAGAGAAAGGAGAAUAUUUUGCUCACUUUCGAUCGUUAUCGACUCAUCUCCCCAAAGCCGGCAAUAUCGACCCUGCCUUCCAACACACUUCCGGAGCUUGUCUGGCACACGGGGUUGAUGCUGGGCGCUCCAAGGGGGCUGGAGCCCUCACCCCGGCUCACACUGGCCUGAGAUGAAGAAGCAGCUACAAAGUGCUGAGGCUCAGGUGGUGUCCCUGGAGGAGGCCUCUCUGUGGUUCUUCCAGCUGUGGUUCUCUGUGACUUAGAAAGUCAGAACUAAGAGUACAGAAUUCUGUUCGAGGCUCCGGUGUCAAAACAGACUCUGGGGUGAAGACCCGGCCCAGCCUCCCUCCUCAAGCCUGCUCUGCGCCCACCCUUAUCCACAUGGUGGCUUCCUGAAGCUCUUGCCGCCCCACCGGGUGAGGUGACAGCCUCCAUUUCUUGAGGAGCACUAACUCUGCCAGUCUGAUGACAUCCACAGAACCUGCGAGCCUCACGCCAGGGGGCAACCCAGGCUGACAGCUGUGGUGUCCACCUGGGACCUGCCCUGGAGGCCUUGGAAGUUGUGAAGCCCAUACUCCUUCCACCGGGCAUGCUGCUGGUGCUGGGUGCCCCGGGGAGCACAGCGGCACAGCUCCCACCUCCUGACAAAGAAGCCCAAGCCCGUGCUCCUGCCUGGCCUGGCCAUUUGAGAGGCCCCUUCCUUCCCCGAGAACCGGAAACUUCAGGCAAUGUCAAGGUCAUGCCUAGCCUGGAGGAAAUGCCUGUAAGCGGCCCAGCCCAGAGCACGGCGGGUGCAGCCCCCAGUGGAGACAGCGGGGUCCAACUUCCAGUACCCACUCACUGGCUGCAUGCCUCUAGCACAAAGCUGUCUUUCACCCCACUCUGGUCUACAGAA
This is a long non-coding RNA of Symphalangus syndactylus (siamang), 1492 nucleotides long. RefSeq lists it as uncharacterized. NCBI's taxonomy places the organism in Eukaryota, Metazoa, Chordata, Mammalia, Primates, Hylobatidae. The record is from RefSeq and is a predicted model, not a curated record.